Molecule: ribosomal RNA, 1480 nt
Filed under: uncultured Bordetella sp.
Lineage: Bacteria; Pseudomonadati; Pseudomonadota; Betaproteobacteria; Burkholderiales; Alcaligenaceae
Description: partial 16S-23S ribosomal RNA intergenic spacer
Rfam family: Bacterial small subunit ribosomal RNA
Source: RNAcentral
GGUUUGAUCAUGGCUCAGAUUGAACGCUGGCGGGAUGUUUACACAUGCAAGUCGAACGGCAGCACGGACUUCGGUCUGGUGGCGAGUGGCGAACGGGUGAGUAAUGUAUCGGAACGUGCCUAGCGGGGGAUAACUACGCGAAAGCGUAGCUAAUACCGCAUACACCCUUCGGGGGAAAGCGGGGACCUUCGGGCCUCGCACUAUUAGGAGCGGCCGAUAUCGGAUUAGCUAGCUGGUGGGGUAACGGCUCACCAAGGCGACGAUCCGUAGCUGGUUUGAGAGGACGACCAGCCACACGGGACUGAGACACGGCCCAGACUCUACGGGAGGCAGCAGUGGGGAAUUUUGGACAAUGGGGGAAACCCUGAUCCAGCCAUCCCGCGUGUGCGAUGAAGGCCUUCGGGUUGUAAAGCACUUUUGGCAGGAAAGAAACGGCACGGGAUAAUACCCCGUGCAACUGACGGUACCUGGCAGAAUAAGCACCGGCUAAUACGUGCCAGCAGCCGCGGUAAUAAAGGGACAGGGUGCAAGCGUUAAUCGGAAUUACUGGGCGUAAAGCGUGCGCAGGCGGUUCGGAAAGAAAGAUGUGAAAUCCCAGAGCUUAACUUUGAACUGUAUUUUUAACUACCGAGUCAGAGGCCGAGGGAGGUGGAAUUCGCGUGUGUAGCAGUGAAAUGCGUAGAUAUGCGAGGGAGCACCGAUGGCGAAGGUGCAGCCUCCUGGGAUAACACUGACGCUCAUGCACGAAAGCGUGGGGAGCAAACAGGAUUAGAUACCCUGGUAGUCCACGCCCUAAACGAUGUCAACUAGCUGUUGGGGCCUUCGGGCCUGGUAGCGCAGCCAACGCGUGAAGUUGACCGCCUGGGGAGUAUGGUCGCAAGAUUAAAACUCAAAGGAAUUGACGGGGACCCGCACAAGCGGUGGAUGAUGUGGAUUAAUUCGAUGCAACGCGAAAACCUUACCUACCCUUGACAUGUCUGGAAUCCCGAAGAGAUUUGGGAGUGCUCGCAAGAGAACCGGAACACAGGUGCUGCAUGGCUGUCGUCAGCUCGUGUCGUGAGAUGUUGGGUUAAGUCCCGCAAACGAGCGCAACCCUUGUCAUUAGUUGCUACGAAAGGGCAUCAUCGAGACUGCCGGUGACAAACCGGAGGAAGGUGGGGAUGACGUCAAGUCCUCAUGGCCCUUAUGGGUAGGGCUUCACACGUCAUACAAUGGUCGGGACAGUGGUCGCCAACUCAUGAGGGGGAGCCAAUCCCAAGAAACCUGAUCGUAGUCCGAUCGCAGUCUGCAACUCGACUGCGUGAAGUCGGAAUCGCUAGUAAUCGCGGAUCAGCAUGUCGCGGUGAAUACGUUCCCGGGUCUUGUACACACCGCCCGUCACACCAUGGGAGUGGGUUUUACCAGAAGUAGUUAGCCUAACCGUAAGGAGGGCGAUUACCACGGUAGGAUUCAUGACUGGGGUGAAGUCGUAACAAGGUAG